RNAcentral lists this transfer RNA (58 nucleotides) under Oxyuris equi. Its description in RNAcentral is "tRNA-Met". The record is from RNAcentral. Lineage: Eukaryota; Metazoa; Nematoda; Chromadorea; Rhabditida; Oxyuridae.
AAAGUAGGAUAAUUUUUUAAUCUGUAAGGUUCAUACCCUUUUGAUACUUUGUGUCUUU